Long non-coding RNA from Peromyscus maniculatus bairdii (prairie deer mouse), 1020 nucleotides. RefSeq lists it as uncharacterized. The record is from RefSeq and is a predicted model, not a curated record. NCBI's taxonomy places the organism in Eukaryota, Metazoa, Chordata, Mammalia, Rodentia, Cricetidae.
AAGAAGACCUGAUAAAUCAAACAAUAACAGCAAAUCCAGGCAUGGUGACGCACCCCUGUAAUCUCAGUACUUGGAAGGCCGAGGCAGGAGGAUCCAGAGUUCAAGGCCAGCCUGAACUACAUAUCAAGACUGUCUCAAAAAACUACCACACAAAUAACCAAGAGGACAGGGGUGGCGUGGUUUCCAACCCUAAAGACGAAGAACCAUGUUAUGGUUUUCAUCUGGUUGGGCACACUGUUGAGUGGGUUCAGUGCUUGCCAAGUCUGCCGGGAAGACCUGGACCCCUGGGAGAGGGCUCUCUGUGAAUGGUCGAAGCUGCUUUCCCGAGAGCUAUGAUUUCAAGAUGUCUGGAGCUAGGACAGCACUAGUGAGGAGGGACCUGAAGCCAGGUGCCCUUCGGCCUCCUCUGCCCAUGCCUCUCAGGAGUCACGUCGUCGUCGUCUACCUGUCCUGCUUGUCCCUGCCUUUGUUCCAGGGCCAAUCUCUGCAGAUAGCAGCUGUUGGCCACCACUGGCAUGGCCCCAGAGAAGCAUGCCUGGCAGAUGUGCAGAAGAGGCAGAGGCACAGCAUAGGAAGGCUGGAGCUGGGUACCUGGCAGGCAGCGAGCGCUCGGCAUUUACUGAGUAAUCAGUCUACGCCAGGCACUGAGCCAGGGGCUAAGGACCCCACAGCAAGAGAGACCCACUUCCUGCCUGCUUGCAGCUCACACUGGAUCCACGAGGCUUCCCCUUCCUUCCGGCUCACCUCCUUUUCACCCCCAUUUCUUUUCCAACCAGAACCCUCGUCAGCCUUCACAGACUUCAGCCACGGCCUUCACACAGCACCAGACAGCAUGACGACACAGCAGGAGGGGCAUGUGACAUCUACGGGCUUGUAGACUUCUCCCUGGAAGUGGCCUUCGAACAGGCCCACAGCUGAGUCCCUGCCCAGCUGCGGGGCUGGGACCUGACAAGUGCCGUGCAUUCUUGGAGUCCCAAUUCCCUUUUCUUUAAAUAAAGCCUGUGGGUUUCCUCCGCUAAA